Molecule: ribosomal RNA, 453 nt
Filed under: uncultured Bacteroidota bacterium
Lineage: Bacteria; Pseudomonadati; Bacteroidota
Description: bacterial SSU rRNA
Rfam family: Bacterial small subunit ribosomal RNA
Source: RNAcentral
GUAGAAGGCUCCCGGCAGGCCUAAUACAUGCAAGUCGAGGGAGAUUGUUGGAUUCGUCUGACAUGAAACCGGCGCACGGGUGCGUAACACGUAUGCAACCUACCUUUAACUGGGGUAUAGCUCAGAGAAAUCUGAAUUAAUCCCCCAUAAGACUACGACAUGGCAUCAUGAUGUAGUUAAAGCUCCGGCGGUUAAGGAUGGGCAUGCGGUACAUUAGCUAGUUGGUGAGGUAAUGGCUCACCAAGGCUACGAUGUAUAGGGGGUCUGAGAGGAUGAUCCCCCACACUGGUACUGAGACACGGACCAGACUCCUACGGGAGGCAGCAGUAGGGAAUAUUGGUCAAUGGACGCAAGUCUGAACCAGCCAUGCCGCGUGAAGGAUGAAGGCCCUAUGGGUCGUAAACUUCUUUUAUUAGGGAAGAAAAAAUGGGAUGCGUCCUAUACUGACGGUAC